RNAcentral lists this long non-coding RNA (734 nucleotides) under Mytilus galloprovincialis (Mediterranean mussel). The record is from RNAcentral. Lineage: Eukaryota; Metazoa; Mollusca; Bivalvia; Mytilida; Mytilidae.
AUGAGUUCUUGCAUUUGGGAAAGUUUACAGUUCAUGUCUUGGUUAAAUAAAAUAUCCUUUAUUCGAUAAAGAGUCAAUGUGAAAAAAGUAUACAAAUAUUUAUAUUCAUGAUACCAUUUUAUUAUUUCAAAAUAAUUGACAAGAAUCACAUACAUUUUUAUACAGUUGCAUAAGUGUAGACCCCGAAAACUACCACCAAUCUCAUCGGUUAAGGACAUAGACAAAGGAGCAAAAAAUAUAAACCGACAUCAACAUCAAUCGAAAAGAACAACUAAAAACAUACAACAACAAACAACAUGAACAACCAAAAAAAAACAAUGUAAAGUAUAUAUUAUAUAACAUCCACACACCUUUCAGUCCAUAUGUUAUAAAGAUAAAACACAACACUUAUACCAUACACAGUGCAGCAAUCCACAUGUUGACACUAAUUCAAUAAGUAUGAAAUAAAAAAAAUAACAUUUAUCAUUUUUGAAAGAAGGAUCAAACCGUGAUCUUCGUCACUUUGGCUCUGGUUGAGUGGUUCCUCAUUGGCAAUCAUACCACAUCUCCAUAUUUUCCACAUUAUCACUUUAAUACAGUUACAAUUAUUUUUUAAGGUUAAAUGUUUAAGUGGAUUAAGGAAUCUGUAAUCAUUACUUCUUCUGUUUUUUGUCAAAGAGAAAACAAACCUACCAAACAGGAGACAAGCAGGUCUACCAAUGGACCUACAACGUAGCGAGAACAUCCCACACACA